Molecule: long non-coding RNA, 669 nt
Filed under: Homo sapiens (human)
Lineage: Eukaryota; Metazoa; Chordata; Mammalia; Primates; Hominidae
Description: non-protein coding LINC01880:16
Source: RNAcentral
CUCAGCUGAGCCUGGUAGAUGCCAGCUGACCGGCUGCAGCCCCUGAGUAGAGGUUGGCUGUCCUAGCAAUAGAGUAGGGCGGGGGCACAGCAGACAUGGGACCAUCAUCUGGAUUCCUAGACGUGCAACUGCAAGCUUAGAAGAAAUAAAGGAAAUAUCCCAGGAGCAAAAACAAAACACACACAUGCUCCUCUCAAGAGUCACUGGCAUCCCAGCUGAAAAGUCAGCUCUACACCUAUGGGACCUAUGGGCCUGUUUCUGAGCUCUGUUUUGUCUCUUUGGUCUGAGUGUCUAUCUGAGGCCAAUACCACAGUACCAAAUGCGAUUGCUUUAGAGGAAGUCUUGAAAUCAGAUGAGGCUGAAGGCUGUUGAAUUAUGAGAAAGCGUCAUUUGAAGAGAUGGAUGCCUGUGACCCCGCCAGGCUCUGCAGACCUGGAGGCGGCUCCAGAUCUGGGGUGUGCGGCGCAUUGUGUGUCCAACAGGUGAUUAACUCUGCUGGUGACAUGUGUUUUUAGAUAUGUGUGUCUUUUCUAUGAGAGUAAAUCAUAAAGCCCACAGGAUGUGCAAGCAGCCAUUCUCGCUGGCCAGGCGGUGUUAGCGCUUGCAACGCACAUAGAUUAUAUCCAGGAGGAUGCAGUCAAUACUUUCUGGGUCCUUUUUAGGUUUUGG